This 2028-nucleotide long non-coding RNA is filed under the name Sus scrofa (pig). RNAcentral's name for it is "lncRNA (ENSSSCG00055000385.1)". The stretch from base 1634 to 1707 matches the Rfam family "mir-205 microRNA precursor family". The record is from RNAcentral. Lineage: Eukaryota; Metazoa; Chordata; Mammalia; Artiodactyla; Suidae.
GAGUUUGCUGGCUCCGUCUCCAGUUCCUUUUGUCUCUUCCCACAUCCCCUCACUCAAGGUCUCUGGGAGCCUGGGCCUUCAGAGACAGCCCUCAGAUCACCUGAGUCGCCCAAGGAUGGAGACCUCCCCCCCAUUUUCCAGAACAAUAAGGUUAGAUGCAGAAAGGCCUGGCCAUUCCCAGCCACCACCCCCCGACUCCUCCCCAGGUGUGGGUGCUGAGAGGUGGAGCCACAGCCAGGCCUCUCCCCAUUGGGCGGGCUCCACAGGUAACCUGAAGCUGUGCUGCCAGGUGCAUAAAUAAAGUGUGGGGCUAUGGUACCACCUCCUUGAAAGGGGCCGAGUCCUUCCUCAGCCUCGCCUUGGAAAAACCAGCUUCUCUCCCUUUCAUUGUCUGUUCCCAGCUCCUGUGCUGCAAGCUCAUCUGAGCCCCCCACACUCCAAACUCUCUCUUUCCGGGUCCUUGAACUCCCCUCUCUGCCAAUCCACUUUCCUCUGCCUUCGUACUCUUCACCAUUAAGGGAGAGGGGCUGUCCGGGACCAGCCCCCACCGCCCCGCAGGACCCACUUCUGUUCUGCACGGGCCUGCUCAGCUGAACUCCCUCUACGGCAAGGGCUUCUUGUUUCUUACUCGCUGUCCUCCAAUCUUCGGAAGGCAAGAGCAGUCCAAGGCUUGGAAUUCCUUUCCUUCUCUCGCAUGCACGAGUCUCCAGCCACCUCUUUGUUCUGAAUUCUCUCAUGAAAGUUCUUUCGAAACAAGCUCAAAGAAGGCCCUGCCCUCUGAUGGUACAGACCCUGAUACCUCCAGACACGGUCGUCGCUGGAGUGUCCGCCCCGGAGGUUAAGGACCCCAGAGGUGGGUGAGGCUCUCUGCACGUGCCCGUUGAGGAUUUGAAGAAUCUGGUGGACUGUACCCAUUGGGAGGAUCUAUGGCCUCCCAUCAUCUCCUGGCAUCGCUUAUCAGCGCCAAACAGGUUGGGGAAGGAUGUGGGGCCACUAGAAAGUGGCCACCCGAGGUGGAUCCCUAGGAGCAACACCAAGGAGGCUUACCCUCCUCUGCCUACCCGGGGCCCAAAGAGCACGCCUGCCUCCGGCCAGGUGUUCUUCCCCCCAGUUCACGCCCGCACACGGGCCGGCCGCGCAAAGCGCUGCUCAGGCUCUUUGGAGGGUGCGGGCUGGAGAGGAACUGCUCCGCCCCGCCUUCCAGGGCCCUGGUUCGAAGGCGCGGGAGACGCAUUUUCCCAAAGCGGAAAUCUCAGAACACCUGCCUCCCCAGCACGGGGGGAAGAUGCCCAGCAGCCCAGCUGGGUAAAGGCAGAGACGUUUCCACGCGGAUGUGGGUGGGAUGGUCCCUCAAGGGUGAGAAACAGCAGAGGUCCCAGCCGGGCAGCGCCGGCCCACCCCGCGGCCCCGUCUGUGCCGCAGACACAGGGAGGUUCCGGCGAGCUGGCUCUGGGCAGCUCCGGAGGGAAGUGGUCUCCGCCAGAGGGUGUGAGGACUCGGAUCUUCCCCAUUCCCCGCGACCGUGACUCCGAUCGUGGAGGCUUUCGGCCAGGCAACCAACGACCUGGUGUACCGAGGCCAGGGUUGCCCCGUGGCCCAGACUCAGCACAAGACCUCGGAACAGUCCACGUGUUUCUCUUGUCCUUCAUUCCACCGGAGUCUGUCUCAUACCCAACCAGAUUUCAGUGGAGUGAAGCUCAGGAGGCGUGGAGCUGACACCGCAGCAGAAGCGGCGACAAGAAGAGCUCUGUGAUGCAUGCGGUCGCCCGCCGACUCCCGGGCCUUCGACGUCACCGCCCCUUUGGGUUACAAUGGAGACCUGAGCUCAACGACUGGCUCGGGUUCCCUCCCUACGUGGGUCCUCCAGGCAGGUGGCUGGAACUCUAUUCCCAAUCAGCAAGGAACCCUCUGCCCUGCCCCCCCCAGAGGACCCGCAGGACCUGCACAAGGGGGUUAAAAAACGACGAGGAUUUAAAAGAGCAUUUAUAUCGUAAUAAAAUAAAUGUAAAUAUGAUGGACGUGAAGGCA